UUAACAUUUAUUGUGAUAAAUUGCAAACUAAUUUCAUAUUUUGAUAAAUACUCCAAAAAGUUUUGGUUAUGAAUAUAAAAAGUAAAUAAUGGAAUAUGGGAUCCAAAUCCAACCAAAAGAGUAAGUUGGCUCUAUGCUAAACCUUAAAUGACUCCCUUGAGCUCUCCAGUUUGCAUUGUGUGUUGGCAGUGCUGGGACAAGAUCGGUGCCACCUAAACUGCCUCUAACAUUGAAGCUAAGUCAUCAUAAGAGGGACCCUUGUGUUUAUUAGCAGCAAGCAGAAUUGUUUGCAAAUUAGCAGCAGGCAGAAUUGUUUGCAAGAUUUGCAGGGGAUCCCCAUGGCUUACAACCAAAAUUGCAC
Molecule: long non-coding RNA, 361 nt
Filed under: Cicer arietinum (chickpea)
Lineage: Eukaryota; Viridiplantae; Streptophyta; Magnoliopsida; Fabales; Fabaceae
Description: long non-coding RNA (CARI_LNC002929)
Source: RNAcentral